RNAcentral lists this ribosomal RNA (1102 nucleotides) under Methanosarcina thermophila. Its description in RNAcentral is "bacterial SSU rRNA". It matches the Rfam family "Archaeal small subunit ribosomal RNA", at positions 156 to 1260 of the family's 1478-position model. Lineage: Archaea; Methanobacteriati; Methanobacteriota; Methanomicrobia; Methanosarcinales; Methanosarcinaceae. The record is from RNAcentral.
CGCAUAUAUGCUGGAAUGCUUUAUGCGUAAAAUGGAUUCGUCUGCCCAAGGAUGGGUCUGCGGCCUAUCAGGUAGUAGUGGGUGUAAUGUACCUACUAGCCUACAACGGGUACGGGUUGUGAGAGCAAGAGCCCGGAGAUGGAUUCUGAGACAUGAAUCCAGGCCCUACGGGGCGCAGCAGGCGCGAAAACUUUACAAUGCGGGAAACCGUGAUAAGGGGACACCGAGUGCCAGCAUCAUAUGUUGGCUGUCCAGAUGUGUAAAAUACAUCUGUUAGCAAGGGCCGGGCAAGACCGGUGCCAGCCGCCGCGGUAACACCGGCGGCCCGAGUGGUGAUCGUGAUUAUUGGGUCUAAAGGGUCCGUAGCCGGUUUGGUCAGUCCUCCGGGAAAUCUGACGGCUCAACCGUUAGGCUUUCGGUGGAUACUGCCAGACUUGGAACCGGGAGAGGUAAGAGGUACUACAGGGGUAGGAGUGAAAUCUUGUAAUCCCUGUGAGACCACCUGUGGCGAAGGCGUCUUACCAGAACGGGUUCGACGGUGAGGGACGAAAGCUGGGGGCACGAACCGGAUUAGAUACCCGGGUAGUCCCAGCCGUAAACGAUGCUCGCUAGGUGUCAGGCAUGGCGCGACCGUGUCUGGUGCCGCAGGGAAGCCGUGAAGCGAGCCACCUGGGAAGUACGGCCGCAAGGCUGAAACUUAAAGGAAUUGGCGGGGGAGCACAACAACGGGUGGAGCCUGCGGUUUAAUUGGACUCAACGCCGGACAACUCACCGGGGACGACAGCAAAAUGUAGGCCAGGCUGAAGACCUUGCCUGAAUCGCUGAGAGGAGGUGCAUGGCCGUCGCCAGUUCGUACUGUGAAGCAUCCUGUUAAGUCAGGCAACGAGCGAGACCCGUGCCCACUGUUACCAGCAUGUCCUCCGGGACGAUGGGUACUCUGUGGGGACCGCCGAUGUUAAAUCGGAGGAAGGUGCGGGCCACGGUAGGUCAGUAUGCCCCGAAUUUCCCGGGCUACACGCGGGCUACAAUGAAUGGGACAAUGGGUCCCUCCCCUGAAAAGGGCUGGUAAUCUCCCAAACCCAUCCGUAGUUCGGAUCGAGGG